This 230-nucleotide ribosomal RNA is filed under the name uncultured bacterium. Its description in RNAcentral is "partial 16S ribosomal RNA". It matches the Rfam family "Bacterial small subunit ribosomal RNA", at positions 15 to 235 of the family's 1533-position model. The record is from RNAcentral.
GAUCCUGGCUCAGGAUGAACGCUAGCUACAGGCUUAACACAUGCAAGUCGAGGGGCAGCAUGGUCUUAGCUUGCUAAGGCCGAUGGCGACCGGCGCACGGGUGAGUAACACGUAUCCAACCUGCCGUCUACUCUUGGACAGCCUUCUGAAAGGAAGAUUAAUACAAGAUGGCAUCAUGAGUUCGCAUGUUUCACAUGAUUAAAGGUAUUCCGGUAGACGAUGGGGAUUGG